CACGGAGUUAGCCGAUGCUUUUUCUUCGGAUACACGCAGUCCGGGACACGUCCCAGGUUUUGUUCUCCGACAAAAGAGGUUUACAACCCAUAGGGCCGUCUUCCCUCACGCGGCUUGGCUGGUUCAGGAUCUCUCCCAUUGACCAAUAUUCCUCACUGCUGCCUCCCGUAGGAGUCUGGUCCGUGUCUCAGUACCAGUGUGGGGGACCUUCCUCUCAGAACCCCUACGCAUCGUCGCCACGGUGGGCCGUUACCCCGCCGUCAAGCUAAUGCGCCGCAUGCCCAUCCUCUUCCGAUGAAUCUUUCCUCGAUCUCGGAUGCCCGAAACCGAUAUACGCGGGAUUAGCCUCCCUUUCGGAAGGUUGUCCCCCUGAAGAGGGCAGGUUGCAUACGUGUUACUCACCCGUGCGCCGGUCGCCGGCAAGGAAAGCAAGCUUCCCUCCCGAUGCCCCUCGACUUGCAUGUGUUAAGCCUGCCGCUAGCGUUCAUCCUGAGCCAGGAUCAAAACUCU
RNAcentral lists this ribosomal RNA (510 nucleotides) under uncultured Bacteroidales bacterium. RNAcentral's name for it is "partial 16S ribosomal RNA". The record is from RNAcentral. Lineage: Bacteria; Pseudomonadati; Bacteroidota; Bacteroidia; Bacteroidales.